UACGUGAGUGGCAAACGUUAUCCGGAAUUACGGGGCGUAAAGCGUCCGUAGGGGGUCUGGUAAGUGCAAUGUGAAACCGAACGGCUCAACCGUUCGUUGCAUUGUAUACUGUCAUGCUUGAGGUGUGCAGAGGUGAGCAGAAUUCCCAGAGUAGGGGUAAUAUCCGUAGAUACUGGGAGGAAUACCAAUAGCGAAGGCAGCUCACUGGGCAUCACCUGACCCUGAAGCGACGAAAGCGUGGGGAGCGAACCGG
This 253-nucleotide ribosomal RNA is filed under the name uncultured bacterium. Its description in RNAcentral is "partial 16S ribosomal RNA". It matches the Rfam family "Bacterial small subunit ribosomal RNA", at positions 524 to 776 of the family's 1533-position model. The record is from RNAcentral.